GUGGUAUCCUGUCUGAAUAUGGGGGGACCAUCCUCCAAGGCUAAAUACUCCUGACUGACCGAUAGUGAACCAGUACCGUGAGGGAAAGGCGAAAAGAACCCCGGCGAGGGGAGUGAAAAAGAACCUGAAACCGUGUACGUACAAGCAGUGGGAGCACAGAGCAAUCUGUGUGACUGCGUACCUUUUGUAUAAUGGGUCAGCGACUUAUAUUCUGUAGCAAGGUUAACCGAAUAGGGGAGCCGAAGGGAAACCGAGUCUUAACUGGGCGUUAAGUUGCAGGGUAUAGACCCGAAACCCGGUGAUCUAGCCAUGGGCAGGUUGAAGGUUGGGUAACACUAACUGGAGGACCGAACCGACUAAUGUUGAAAAAUUAGCGGAUGACUUGUGGCUGGGGGUGAAAGGCCAAUCAAACCGGGAGAUAGCUGGUUCUCCCCGAAAGCUAUUUAGGUAGCGCCUCGUGAAUUCAUCUCCGGGGGUAGAGCACUGUUUCGGCAAGGGGGUCAUCCCGACUUACCAACCCGAUGCAAACUGCGAAUACCGGAGAAUGUUAUCACGGGAGACACACGGCGGGUGCUAACGUCCGUCGUGAAGAGGGAAACAACCCAGACCGCCAGCUAAGGUCCCAAAGUCAUGGUUAAGUGGGAAACGAUGUGGGAAGGCCCAGACAGCCAGGAUGUUGGCUUAGAAGCAGCCAUCAUUUAAAGAAAGCGUAAUAGCUCACUGGUCGAGUCGGCCUGCGCGGAAGAUGUAACGGGGCUAAACCAUGCACCGAAGCUGCGGCAGCGACACUGUGUGUUGUUGGGUAGGGGAGCGUUCUGUAAGCCUGUGAAGGUGUGCUGUGAGGCAUGCUGGAGGUAUCAGAAGUGCGAAUGCUGACAUAAGUAACGAUAAAGCGGGUGAAAAGCCCGCUCGCCGGAAGACCAAGGGUUCCUGUCCAACGUUAAUCGGGGCAGGGUGAGUCGACCCCUAAGGCGAGGCCGAAAGGCGUAGUCGAUGGGAAACAGGUUAAUAUUCCUGUACUUGGUGUUACUGCGAAGGGGGGACGGAGAAGGCUAUGUUGGCCGGGCGACGGUUGUCCCGGUUUAAGCGUGUAGGCUGGUUUUCCAGGCAAAUCCGGAAAAUCAAGGCUGAGGCGUGAUGACGAGGCACUACGGUGCUGAAGCAACAAAUGCCCUGCUUCCAGGAAAAGCCUCUAAGCAUCAGGUAACAUCAAAUCGUACCCCAAACCGACACAGGUGGUCAGGUAGAGAAUACCAAGGCGCUUGAGAGAACUCGGGUGAAGGAACUAGGCAAAAUGGUGCCGUAACUUCGGGAGAAGGCACGCUGAUAUGUAGGUGAAGUCCCUCGCGGAUGGAGCUGAAAUCAGUCGAAGAUACCAGCUGGCUGCAACUGUUUAUUAAAAACACAGCACUGUGCAAACACGAAAGUGGACGUAUACGGUGUGACGCCUGCCCGGUGCCGGAAGGUUAAUUGAUGGGGUCAGCGCAAGCGAAGCUCUUGAUCGAAGCCCCGGUAAACGGCGGCCGUAACUAUAACGGUCCUAAGGUAGCGAAAUUCCUUGUCGGGUAAGUUCCGACCUGCACGAAUGGCGUAAUGAUGGCCAGGCUGUCUCCACCCGAGACUCAGUGAAAUUGAACUCGCUGUGAAGAUGCAGUGUACCCGCGGCAAGACGGAAAGACCCCGUGAACCUUUACUAUAGCUUGACACUGAACAUUGAGCCUUGAUGUGUAGGAUAGGUGGGAGGCUUUGAAGUGUGGACGCCAGUCUGCAUGGAGCCGACCUUGAAAUACCACCCUUUAAUGUUUGAUGUUCUAACGUGGACCCGUGAUCCGGGUUGCGGACAGUGUCUGGUGGGUAGUUUGACUGGGGCGGUCUCCUCCUAAAGAGUAACGGAGGAGCACGAAGGUUGGCUAAUCCUGGUCGGACAUCAGGAGGUUAGUGCAAUGGCAUAAGCCAGCUUGACUGCGAGCGUGACGGCGCGAGCAGGUGCGAAAGCAGGUCAUAGUGAUCCGGUGGUUCUGAAUGGAAGGGCCAUCGCUCAACGGAUAAAAGGUACUCCGGGGAUAACAGGCUGAUACCGCCCAAGAGUUCAUAUCGACGGCGGUGUUUGGCACCUCGAUGUCGGCUCAUCACAUCCUGGGGCUGAAGUAGGUCCCAAGGGUAUGGCUGUUCGCCAUUUAAAGUGGUACGCGAGCUGGGUUUAGAACGUCGUGAGACAGUUCGGUCCCUAUCUGCCGUGGGCGCUGGAGAACUGAGGGGGGCUGCUCCUAGUACGAGAGGACCGGAGUGGACGCAUCACUGGUGUUCGGGUUGUCAUGCCAAUGGCACUGCCCGGUAGCUAAAUGCGGAAGAGAUAAGUGCUGAAAGCAUCUAAGCACGAAACUUGCCCCGAGAUGAGUUCUCCCUGACCCUUUAAGGGUCCUGAAGGAACGUUGAAGACGACGACGUUGAUAGGCCGGGUGUGUAAGCGCAGCGAUGCGUUGAGCUAACCGGUACUAAUGAACCGUGAGGCUUAACCUUACAACGCCGAAGGUGUUU
RNAcentral lists this ribosomal RNA (2538 nucleotides) under Escherichia coli. RNAcentral describes it as "partial 23S ribosomal RNA". It matches the Rfam family "Bacterial large subunit ribosomal RNA", at positions 426 to 2925 of the family's 2925-position model. Lineage: Bacteria; Pseudomonadati; Pseudomonadota; Gammaproteobacteria; Enterobacterales; Enterobacteriaceae. The record is from RNAcentral.